GCUCGUCCAGCCGCCGAACUCAGGGAGGAGAAACCCAACGGGAUGCCCGCAGCCGGCCUCACCUCCCCGGCGGCCUCCUCCUCCUCGUGUUUCCCAAAAAGCUUCGCGGCCGGAGCCCGCAGCCGCUCGCCCAUUGCCACCGACAGCCUCAACCCGGAGGAUUUUCGCCCCGCGGGGUUUCUUCAGAGCCAGGAGGCGGCGGCGAGGAAAUGCUGCGUGCGGUCGGCCUCGGCGCGGAGGCUUCUCGCCGCUGCCAUGCUGCGUCGCCGGAGGUUCGCAGCGGCGCGGGGCGAAGCCGCCCUCCCGCGAUCCGCCCCGGGGUGUUCCCAUUAUCCCGGCGCCACCUUCCCCGGGUGGGAAGAGCAGCGUUUGGCAUCCUCAUCCUGCCCCCAGACAACUUUUAAGCACGUGUUUUACUAAAUCGUCGCGUUUCCAGGCUUUGCCCUCUGAUGGAAAUGCAGCCGGUUCACCAAAUUCCUCCUUUCUGCUUCGGUGCAAGAACACGCGUUUUUAGCACCUUCUCUCUCGUUUUUUUCCCUCUUUUUUUCCCUCCGUAACCUCAUAAAUGCAUCGAAAAAAUAAAACGCAGCCGUGAAGCGGAGGAAAGGGCACAAUCGGAGUGGGCAGGAGGCGGCUGCGCGCGUCGUGGCCCCGUCUGCAGCUGGGAGAUUGGGGCUCUCCUCCCUCCCCGGCUGAUAAAAGCUGGCGGGGACAGAGACGGGACUGAGCUUUCGCUGAGCCUCUGCCAGAGAAACGGGGGGGAAAAAACCCUAACGGGGGAAAAACCAAGCGAGGGGAAACAAGUGGGGGGAAAAAGCAGCCGGAGGAACCCCAAAACAGCGCUGGAAACGGCCAAGAAUAAACCAAAAAGUUUUGAGAGAGGAGAAAAUCCCAGCGCUGCAAGGAAGAGAGGACACGGUGGGCGCGAUGGCUUUCUGCCUCAAACCCCGGCCGUGCACGUGGGACUUGGCUGUGGACUACAACGCAGCGAAACAGUUUCAAGUGGAUGUGACCCUGGAUCCGACCACGGCCGGCCCCGAGGUGAUCCUCUCCGAGGACCUCAAGGAGGCCACCUGGGGCAGACCGGGGCGCCGGUGGCCAGCGGGCCCGGGCCGUUUCGACACGGAUCCGUGCAUGUUGGGCAGCCAGGGCUUCACCUCGGGCCGCCACUACUGGGAGGUGGAGGCGAGCGGGCGCUUCUGGACCGUGGGGGUGGCUCGGGAAUCGGUGCGGAGGAAAGGCCGGAUCCUCUUCAAACCCAACGCCGAGAUCUGGGGCUUGCAGAAGUACGACGAGCUCUGCGUGGCCCUCACGGCUCCCUCCAACACCUCCGUCCCGCUCCACGGCGGGGAGAUCGGGGUCUACUUGGACUACGAGGUGGGGCAGGUCUCGUUUUACGCCCUCGGCACCCGCCGGCGCGUCUUCACCUUCCGCGUGGCCUCCUUCAGCGGCGAGAGGGUCUUCCCCUACUUCUGCGUGCUGCUCUCCACCAUCAAGCUGCCCCCCAGGGGCUGACGGGGCGGCGACGGGGUCCCCCCGAAACCGUUUCGGUGCUUCCAGGAGAAAUGGAAACGCUCCUCAACGCACCUCACCUCAUUUUAUUAUUAUUUUUAUUUUUUUCUUCAGGAUUUGGGGUGAUUUCCAUCACCCGUAGCUUACGGGUCUGCCUCACCUCAUUUUAUUAUUAUUUUUUUAUUUUUUUCUUCAGGAUUUGGGGUUAUUUCCAUCACCCGUAGCCCAUGGGUCUGUCUCACCUCGUAAAAUAAUAAUAAUAAUGAUAAUAAUUUCUUCAGGAUUUGGGGUGAUUUCCAUCACCCGUAGCUCACGGGUCUGCCUCACCUCAUUUUAUUUUUAUUUUUUUUAUUUUUUUCUUCAGGAUUUGGGGUGAUUUCCAUCACCUGUAGCUCACGGGUCUGCCUCACCUCGUAAAAUAAUAAUAAUAAUGAUAAUAAUUUCUUCAGGAUUUGGGGUGAUUUCCAUCGCCCAUAGCUCAUGAGUCUGCCUCACCUCAUUUUAUUAUUAUUUUUUUCUUCUUCUUCAGGAUUUGGGGUUAUUUCCAUCACCCAUAGCCCAUGGGUCUGUCUCACCUCGUAAAAUAAUAAUAAUAAUAAUGAUAAUAAUUUCUUCAAGAUUUGGGGUGAUUUCCAUCACCCAUAGCUCAUGAGUCUCCCUCACUUCAUUUUAUUAUUGUUAUCAAUAUUAUUAUUAUUAUUUUUUCAGGAUUUGGGGUGAUUUCCAUUGCCUGUAGCUCAUGGGUCUGCUAGAUUUUUAUUUUUAUUUUAUUUUUAUUUUUAUUUUUAUUUUAUUUUUAUUUUAUUUUUAUUUAAUUUAAUUUAAUUUUAUUUUUAUUUUAUUUUUAUUUUAUUUUUAUUUUUAUUGUUUUUAUUUUUAUUGUUUUUAUUUUUCUUCAGGAUUUGGGGUGAUUUCCACCACCCCGUAGCUCGUGGGUCUGCCUUACCUCAUUUUAUUAUUAUUGCUAUUAUUAUUAUUUCUUCAGGAUUUGGGGACAUUUCCACCACGUGUAGCUUGUGGGUCUGCCUCACCUCCUUUUAUGAUUAUGACUAUUAUUUAUUAAUAAUAAUUUUCUUCAGGAUUUGGAGUGAUUUCCACCGCUCGUGGGUCUGCCUCGGGUCCGAUGUCUCUGUUACGGGUUAAAUCUGGGAGGUUUUGGGUCUCGUGGCGGUUUGAGCCGGAACCCCCAGUCUCAGCUGAAAGUUGCGGGUUUUAGGGUUAUUAAAAGCGUGUUAAUAGUUUUACCGAGCUGGUGUUGAGCUGAAAUCUUUGUUUUUCCCCCCAAACCCAUGCUGAAUUCCACACCUAAUUAAACUCCUGAAUUUCAGCAGAACUCUAAUACUAUUGUCCUAAUUUCAGCAGAAUUCGCUUAAAUACCACCUGCAGCUCCCUGAUAACAGAAUUGAGUUUUAAUUGAUAUUGUUUAAAAUCUUUUUUUUUUCACAGGAAUUUGCCCCUCUCCUCCCUUUCACUGUUUUUCCCACUGUAAUUUUUUUUUUUUUGAGCAAUUAAUGUGCGAAUAUCACUGGGUUCAGACCCAAAUUAACAGGUUUUAUUGUUAGAAGGAGGAAGUGUGUGGGCGGAAUACGUUUGGGUUGUGAUUUAACGGGAAAAAAAUAAAUAAAUAAAAUAAAAGCUCCA
Anser cygnoides (Swan goose) is the source of this 3153-nucleotide long non-coding RNA. The record is from Ensembl. NCBI's taxonomy places the organism in Eukaryota, Metazoa, Chordata, Aves, Anseriformes, Anatidae.